RNAcentral lists this transfer RNA (77 nucleotides) under Acidobacteriota bacterium. RNAcentral's name for it is "tRNA-Arg". It matches the Rfam family "tRNA". From Rfam's summary of the family: Transfer RNA (tRNA) molecules are approximately 80 nucleotides in length. Their secondary structure includes four short double-helical elements and three loops (D, anti-codon, and T loops). Further hydrogen bonds mediate the characteristic L-shaped molecular structure. tRNAs have two regions of fundamental functional importance: the anti-codon, which is responsible for specific mRNA codon recognition, and the 3' end, to which the tRNAs corresponding amino acid is attached (by aminoacyl-tRNA synthetases). tRNAs cope with the degeneracy of the genetic code in two manners: having more than one tRNA (with a specific anti-codon) for a particular amino acid; and 'wobble' base-pairing, i.e. permitting non-standard base-pairing at the 3rd anti-codon position. The record is from RNAcentral. Lineage: Bacteria; Pseudomonadati; Acidobacteriota.
GGGUCUGUAGCUCAGUUGGAAAUGAGAGCAUCUGCCUUCUAAGCAGAAGCGCGCAGGUUCGAGUCCUGCCAGACCCG